AAAGCUGUGACUGAGGAACUUAUGCAUGUCUGAGGUGGGAAGGGGAGGGUGAGAGCAGGAGACUCUGGAGGAGGAGGAAUGGAGACGACUCCACAAAGAGGCUGACUUUGAGACCAAGCAGGACGAAAGAGCUGGGCUUGGCUGGUGGAAUAAGGACAUCACAAAGAGCGUCUGCAGCAGCGCAUGCCAAGGAGGGCUGGAAGGAACGCUGAGGUCAAUGUCACCUUUUUGGAGGAACGGGCUUCAAGGAUGCUUGAAAUAAAUGGAUGAGUCAAGUUUA
Pan troglodytes (chimpanzee) is the source of this 280-nucleotide long non-coding RNA. RefSeq lists it as uncharacterized. Lineage: Eukaryota; Metazoa; Chordata; Mammalia; Primates; Hominidae. The transcript is spliced from 2 exons. The record is from RefSeq and is a predicted model, not a curated record.